RNAcentral lists this long non-coding RNA (662 nucleotides) under Calidris pygmaea (Spoon-billed sandpiper). RNAcentral's name for it is "lncRNA (ENSCPGG00000013823.1)". Lineage: Eukaryota; Metazoa; Chordata; Aves; Charadriiformes; Scolopacidae. The record is from RNAcentral.
AGAACAUGACGCCUGCAGCUGCCAUGAAAAGGGUGGGCAAUAGCCCUAGUAGCCCUUUCUAGUAAGUGCGUGCCUGCUAAUUUAUGUAAUCAUAACAUAAGCCCUAAUAUGUCAUCUUUCCUAUCUAGGCCAUGAAGUGGCUCAUCUUGUGAACCAGGGAAGAUGAGUUUUAAAACCAAGAUAAUCUUGUCUAGAAUUUAUGGCUUUUGGAAGUGGAACAUCUCAGGGCUACAUAAUUACAGGCAUCCUGCCCCACAGCCAUGUAAAUUUUCCUACAUAUAAAUGUUCGUUGCUGUCUUUUACAUUCCUCUGCUGACAGUGAAGAGGUCAUGCUAAAUCAAAUUGAUGCAGAAACUGGACAGUAUCUUUACCCAGGAUGUCCAAAUUAAUUCUACCAAAACAAGAGAUAAGAUAACAUCAAAGUAUAUUCCAGAAGGCUUUCCUUCUACUUCUUUUCAUGAAUAUACCUGCUUCUGAAGAGUGUCUUGGAUGCCACAUGCAAUGCGCUGCAAUGAGAAGAGGAGCCAAGCAACAGGAUUUAUGAUGUUGUUUAUCUGUUGGUGAUGUUUCGUCAGUUCUGAUUUAUGGCAGAACUGCGCCUGGGCCCAGUGAGGUAUGGUUUCCAGUCCCACAGCUUGCCAGAAUUCAUGAGGGCUUACCCG